UCAUCCCGUGAUAUAGAAUCUGGUUGUUCUUCAUCAACUGUUUCGAGUGCAUUGAUAGAAGAGAAAGGUAAAACUGAGAAAAAGCUUUCUUCCGUUUCUAAGACAGCAGCUACAAAUGUACAAACUGGACAUUCAGAAGAGAAGAUUGCUCUAGAAGAUUCCGGAACAUUUCUCCCUCCCAUUUUGUGACUCUGUUUGAAUUUUAUCUUUCUGUAUAUUAAUACAUAUCUCCAUUCGUUGCAAAAUGUUCCACACUCGGCCUUCAAGUGCACUCACUGUUCACGUCCAUCACUAUUCUGAGUACAAUGAUGUACAUAUUGUAAAUAAAAUGUACUAUAUUCGUGUGUAGAGUCAUCAUCCAAUAAAUUCCUUGGAGGUUUUGCCUUUCUUUUGAUCAUUGCACUAAAUUAAACUAAAAUAUGAAUAUUU
Long non-coding RNA from Centruroides sculpturatus (bark scorpion), 429 nucleotides. RefSeq lists it as uncharacterized. The record is from RefSeq and is a predicted model, not a curated record. NCBI's taxonomy places the organism in Eukaryota, Metazoa, Arthropoda, Arachnida, Scorpiones, Buthidae. The transcript has 3 exons.